Molecule: long non-coding RNA, 4077 nt
Filed under: Takifugu rubripes (torafugu)
Lineage: Eukaryota; Metazoa; Chordata; Actinopteri; Tetraodontiformes; Tetraodontidae
Description: lncRNA (ENSTRUG00000027407.1)
Source: RNAcentral
AUGCAGCCAUCAGAAGAGAGCUGGCAGCAAGAGAUCAGGGACCUGAAGGAACUUCUGGUGGGGAAAGACCAGCAGAUCUGCAGGGUGGAGCAGGAGAGGAGAACGCUGGCUGAGGCUCACGUGGACACCUUGGCCCUGCUGAGCAGCACGCAGGCGGCACUAAAGCAGGAGGAAGGAAAAUGUGCCCGUCUCCAAGAACAGUGCAGCAAGAAGCUGGAUGAUGAGGAGCUGAGACACCAGACGCAGCUCAAGACCAAGCAGAUGGUGUCCGACCUCACAAAAAAGUCUGAAGUGAUCUGGACGGAGACCCAGAGGAAGCUGGAGGAGAUGCUGGGGAACCAGGAAAGGAUCUCGGAGGAAAAGGAGAGCUCCAACAGGAAGGAGAUCCACCUCCUGACCGAGAGAAUCGUCCAGCUGCAGCAACUCCUCCGUGAAAAAGAAACAAAGAAGAACCAAAAGAUGAAGUUCAGAAUAAUGAAGUUCUUCUUUGGAAGAUAAACAAAGAGACAAAAUAAUUCUGAUCCUGAGCUGGACAUUCUAUUAUUACUACUCUAUUGCAGGCCUGGAUUCGAACCAACAACCUGCCGCAGAGAAGUCAGCGGCUUAAACCACUGCCCUAUGCAGUCACACUAACCCACCGCAAAGAGGUCAUAUAUGGUUAAAAAAAGCCAUAAUUUGAAUAUCAUCUGUGGAUGUGAUUUCUGUGUCAACACAAAUUCCAUAUUUUCACAGCAUGUGAAGAAAAACAUCUGUGUGAAGAAUAUUUAAUCAUGGCUUUUUUUUAAACCAUAUAUGACCUCUUUGCAGUGGUUUAGUGUGACCGCAUAGGUCAGUGGUUUAAGCCACUGACUUUUUUUUUGCCGACGGUUGUUGGUUCGAAUCCAGGCGGGACUUUGGUUUGAAGAAUCAAUAUUCUUCACACAUAUGUUUUUGUUUUUUUAUACAUCAAUUGUAUAACUUUUUCCAUUUUUAGUUUGUGAUUCAUUGCUGGAAUAGUUACAGGGGUGCUGAUUUAUAAGCUGUCGUCCGAUCCUCUUUCCCACCAUACAGUAAUUUCUAAAGAGGAUACUUGGUCCUAAAAAUUGUGAUGCAAUUCAUGACAGUCACCACGGUAAAACCAAAAACGUGUGUGAAGAAUAUUGAUUCUUCAAACCAAAGUCCCACCUGGAUUUGAACCAACAACCUUCUGCAAAGAAGUCAGCAGCUUAAACCACUGACCUAUAUAUCAAUAUCAAUAUCAAUCUUUAUUUAUAUGGCACUUUUCAUACGCUAGGUAGCACAAAGUGCCUCACAAAGGAUAAAAACAGCAAAGAGAACAAGAGAAUCAAGAAAAGGACACACACACACAUGCAUACAACACACUUGCACACACAAACAAGCUUAGGCAAGUUGAGACAUGGCUGGGCACCGAGACCUGAGGCGAAGGAGACGCCACCUUUGGAGGCCCACCAGGCCGAGGGGGGUCACGGUCCGUGACCACAGGUGGUACCGCCACAAAGACCACCCCGACCCGGACAGACCGGAGGCUCCACACCAAAGCACAGAGCCCCCUAACCACCCAGGCCAGGGUCGACAAUGGGACAGCACCCCCAGCGGUAGACCGGAAACAACUCCCAGCCUGGCAGGCCCCCAUGAGGAAACACCAUGAGGAGACACUGGAGCUAAAAACUGAAGGCAUGAGACAGUAAAUGGGUUAAAAGGUAUAAAAGCUAAAAGCUGAGGAACUAAGAAUUGAAGUAUUAAAACAGUACUAAGACUAAAACAGACUAAAACAGUAAAUGGGAUAAAAGGUGUAAAGACUAAAAACUGAGAGACUAAGAACUGAGGGAGUAAAACAGUAAAAGUGUCAAGUAAAAUAAGGAUAAGACAUAAAGAAGCAUGAAGACAUAAAAUAAAUUGAAAAUAAUCAGAAAAUCAAUUAAAGGCCUGAUUAAAAAGGUGUGUCUUGAGCCUCUUUUUAAAAAUCUCAACAGUCUCUGCGGCCCUGAGGUUCUCCGGCAGGCUGUUCCACAGUCGGGGACCAUAAUAACUGAAGGCCGCUUCCCCGUGCGUUUUAGUGCUUACAUGUGGAAUGGUUAAAAGGCCGGUGCCGGAGGACCUCAGAGUCCACGAGGGUUGAUAGAAUAAAAGCAGGUCAGAUAAAUAAGUCAGGCCAAGACCAUUAAGACAUUUAAAAACUAAUAAAAGAACCUUAAAAUCGAUCCUGAAACGCACGGGUAGCCAAUGCAGCGAUUCUAAAACUGGUGUGAUGUGCUCCCGCCCUCUGGUCCUCGUCAGCACUCGUGCAGCUGAGUUUUGUAAUAAUUGUAGGUUUGUGAUGCUCUUUUUUGGAAGACCAGAGAGCAGGGCAUUACAAUAAUCUAAACGACAAGAGAUAAAAGCGUGCAUCAGCACCUCCGUGCUGGCCUGAGAGAGAAACGGGCGGACUCUGGCUAUAUUCUUCAGGUGGUAAAAACCUACCUUUGUUAUGUUUUUGAUGUGUGGAAUAAAACUAAGCUCAGAGUCAAAGAUCACACCCAGAUUUUUUACAGAUUGAGAUGGCUUAAAAUCCUUCAAUUUUGGAAAAAGUUUCUCUCUCUGACCUUCAGGACCAAUGACUAAGACCUCUGUUUUGUCCUGGUUGAGCUGGAGAAAGUUUUCUGCCAUCCAUGACUGGAUAUCUAGAAUACAGUUAAAAAGGGCAUCAACUGGCCCUGUGUCACCAGGAGCCACGGCGAUGUACAGCUGCGUAUCGUCAGCAUAGCUGUGGAAGCUGAUGCCGUGGCUCCUGAUGACGUCCCCAAGAGGAAGCAUGUAAAGAUUAAAAAGGGUUGGACCGAAGAUUGACCCUUGGGGAACCCCACACUUUGUCUCAUGGAUUCUCGAGGAAGCUUCGAAGCUUCGAUCAGUAAGGUAGGAGGUGAACCAGUUAAGAACAGUACCAGAGAGACCGACCAGGUUCUUCAGUCUAUUCAAUAAAAUAUGGUGGUCUACUGUAUCAAAAGCGGCGGUCAGAUCCAGUAGAACCAACACCGUGAGCUUUUUGUUGUCUAGGUUACACCUGAUGUCAUUUAAAAUCUUUAAAAGGGCUGUCUCUGUACUGUGGUUCAUCCUAAAACCAGACUGAUGUCUCUCUAAAAUAUCAUUUGAGUUUAAAAAAUCAUUUACUUGGUUAAAAACAAGUUUUUCUAAAAUUUUACUUAAAAAUGGUAGGUUGGAUACUGGCCGAUAGUUAUUUAAAACGCUGGGGUCUAGAUUGCUCUUCUUCAGAAGGGGCUUCACCACCGCAGUUUUAAAGGAGGUGGGGAAGACACCCGUCUGAAGAGAGCAAUUCACCAUAUAUAAGAGAGUUCCUCAAAGAAUCCAUAAAAUGUUUUGAAAAACGGUGUGGGAAUUGGGUCUAAAAGGCAGGUUGUGGGCCUAACUUGGGAGAAAACUCGACCAAGUGUCCUCGCAUCAACCAGGACAAAACUCUCCAGUGUCUCCUCAGGUGAGAGCAAUGAUCCAGGAGUGUUGUUGAUUAAAAUUUGCUGUGAUAAAAGACUGGAUCUAAUAUUAUCGAUUUUACUCCUGAAGUGGUCUGCAAAGGCCUCGCAGAGGGUGUCAGUCGUUGUUGUGGGACACCUAUUAAAAUUACCAUUGGUUAAAAGCUCAAUGGUGUGGAAUAGAAAUUUGGGGUUGUUUUUAUUGUUGGAGAUUAGUUUUUUGAGAUGAGAGGUUCUUGCCUGCUUGAUUGUGUUAUUGUAGGUUUUGAGGUGUUGAUAAAAUAUUUCUUUAUGGAUGGUCAGUUUGGAUUUCCUCCACCUCCUCUCAGCACUCCUGCAGGUUCUUUUCAGUUUUCUAGUUUCUUCAUUUCUCCACGGUGGUGCACGUUUUGUUCUUACAGUUUUUGCGACAAGUGGAGCCACAGAGUCCAGCGUUGACUUUAAUUUAUUGUUAAAAGUGUGAACAAUAAAAUCACACGGUGCUGGUAAAAGUUCUGCAGGAGUGCUCUGUAAAAUCUGGAUAAAAUUUGCAGCCACUUCAGGAGUCAGGUAGCGUCUCCUCACCGUUCUCACAGGGGACCCCUGCUAUAUAGUCACGCUUACCCACUGCAAA